GCCUGGGUGGCUCAGUCGGUUGAGCGUCCGACUUCGGCUCAGGUCACGAUCUCGCGGUCCGUGAGUUCGAGCCCCACGUCGGGCU
This is a non-coding RNA of Felis catus (domestic cat), 85 nucleotides long. The record is from Rfam. NCBI's taxonomy places the organism in Eukaryota, Metazoa, Chordata, Mammalia, Carnivora, Felidae.